GUUGACUUUAAAGAUUUAGAUUGCAAAUCUGAAGGUGUUUGUUUAAGCUAAAGUCUAGU
This 59-nucleotide transfer RNA is filed under the name Eophreatoicus karrkkanj. RNAcentral's name for it is "tRNA-Cys". Lineage: Eukaryota; Metazoa; Arthropoda; Malacostraca; Isopoda; Amphisopidae. The record is from RNAcentral.